This 434-nucleotide ribosomal RNA is filed under the name uncultured Coprococcus sp. Its description in RNAcentral is "bacterial SSU rRNA". It matches the Rfam family "Bacterial small subunit ribosomal RNA", at positions 341 to 792 of the family's 1533-position model. The record is from RNAcentral. Lineage: Bacteria; Bacillati; Bacillota; Clostridia; Lachnospirales; Lachnospiraceae.
ACGGGAGGCAGCAGUGGGGAAUAUUGCACAAUGGGGGAAACCCUGAUGCAGCGACGCCGCGUGAAGGACGACGUAUUUCGGUAUGUAAACUUCUAUCAGCAGGGAAGAUGAUGACGGUACCUGACUAAGAAGCCCCGGCUAACUACGUGCCAGCAGCCGCGGUAAUACGUAGGGGGCAAGCGUUAUCCGGAUUUACUGGGUGUAAAGGGAGCGUAGGCGGCCAUGCAAGUCAGAAGUGAAAGCCCGGGGCCCAACCGCGGGACUGCUUUUGAAACUGUAAGGCUUGAUUGCCGGAGAGGUAAGCGGAAUUCCUAGUGUAGCGGUGAAAUGCGUAGAUAUUAGGAGGAACACCAGUGGCGAAGGCGGCUUACUGGACGGCGAAUGACGCUGAGGCUCGAAAGCGUGGGGAGCAAACAGGAUUAGAUACCCUGGUA